GGGUCCUGGGGGAAAGGGUGUUGUUUCAAAAAAGAACAAGAAAAGCUCAGGGCAGUGAAUCACAUUUUGCUCAGGAAAACCAACUCAAGAGUGGAAGGAUGGAGAAGUGGCCACUAGCUUCACUAGCAAUCUUUUGGCUGCAGCUGAGCUGGGUGAGCAGUGAAGACAAGGUGAUACAGAGCCCCCCAUCUCUGGUUGUCCAGGAGGAAGACAGUGCAACUCUCAACUGCAGUUACCAAGUGACCAACUUUCAAAGCCUACUUUGGUUUCAGCAGCAAGAGAACACUCCUACCUUUCUGUUUAGACAAAUUUCAAAUGGGAUUCAGAAGUCAGGAAGGUUAAAAGGGACAUUAGAUAAGAAAGCACUUCUCAGCACCCUGCACAUCACAGCCACCCAGCUCGGAGACUCAGCUACCUACUUGUGUGCAGUGGAGGCACAGUGUGGUCUAGUCAGCUGCAGCCCGUCCCCAAAUACUACAACAGGCUCCUGUGACUGUUAGAUGGGGACCUUGCUAAAUCAGGCACAACCCCAAAAGUAAACUGUAAGGAAAAGCAACCAUCAGUUAAGACCCUCAUGCCCAUGUUGACAAUUACUUGUGGCUUACUGAGUCCGAUCCCUGCAUUCACUACCUUGUCUGUGCUUUUUAUGGACAUCUGCAUAACAAAUAUUUUUACAGGGUCACUCAUACAAUACCAACUCUAUAACAACACCAUCAUGCCCUGGGGGAGAAAGAAAGCCCUUUUGCCAGGAUUGCACCAGCAACUUGUAUGUGCACCACAAAUCAAGGACUGUACCUAACAGCAUGAUGGAUGGAAAGUCUGGUUGAUUUGGGUCAGCUAUUUCCACCUAGAAUAGGCACAUUUAUAGGUACAGUUCUGCCUGCCACUUUUCUUGCUGGACUAUUAGCAAAGAACAAAGGGUGGGAACCAGAAAACAUCAUUACUUGAUUCAAACAAAAGCUUUUCUUCGUCUCUUGCAGUGUUCUUACUUACUCCCUUCAUCUUUGGGUGGUUGCUUAAGCUAGGUGCUUCAUGAGGGUAGCUUUCUCGAGAACUUGCACAUUAAUUUGAAAACUUAGUGCCAGAAGCAGUCUCCCAAAAGAAGGAGGCUAGCUAAACUAAGUUAAUGCCAAGCUAACAUACACUUAGUUUAGCUCUAUUACGGUAUAUUUUUUCAGUG
Herpailurus yagouaroundi (jaguarundi) is the source of this 1180-nucleotide non-coding RNA. NCBI's taxonomy places the organism in Eukaryota, Metazoa, Chordata, Mammalia, Carnivora, Felidae. The record is from the annotation of a RefSeq genome assembly.